CAGGCAAGAGCUCAGAUUUNAAGCCUUUUUGGCAUUGUAUUCUGAAGUCAGUUUCCUGAGUAUCGGUGUUUAAGUCUUCCGGAAAGGAGCGCCAUGGAGGGUGAUAGCCCCGUACGGCACCUCACUCAUUGUAGGAUUCUGACGUGGAGUCGAGUUGUUUGGGAAUGCAGCUCAAAAGGGUGGUAUGCUCCAUCUAAAGCUAAAUAUCUGUGAGAGACCGAUAGCGAACAAGUACUGUGAAGGAAAGAUGAAAAGAACUUUGAAAAGAGAGUGAA
Molecule: ribosomal RNA, 275 nt
Filed under: uncultured Saccharomycetaceae
Lineage: Eukaryota; Fungi; Ascomycota; Saccharomycetes; Saccharomycetales; Saccharomycetaceae
Description: partial 28S ribosomal RNA
Rfam family: Eukaryotic large subunit ribosomal RNA
Source: RNAcentral